Molecule: transfer RNA, 79 nt
Filed under: Priestia megaterium
Lineage: Bacteria; Bacillati; Bacillota; Bacilli; Caryophanales; Bacillaceae
Description: Bacillus megaterium tRNA-Ile
Rfam family: tRNA
About the family: Transfer RNA (tRNA) molecules are approximately 80 nucleotides in length. Their secondary structure includes four short double-helical elements and three loops (D, anti-codon, and T loops).
Source: RNAcentral
GGACUUGUAGCUCAAUGGCAGAGCGACCAGUCGUAUUAUAAACUUUGGUGUCUUGCAGGUUCAAAUCCUACCAAGUCCG